This 802-nucleotide ribosomal RNA is filed under the name uncultured Actinomycetes bacterium. RNAcentral's name for it is "bacterial SSU rRNA". It matches the Rfam family "Bacterial small subunit ribosomal RNA", at positions 8 to 796 of the family's 1533-position model. The record is from RNAcentral. Lineage: Bacteria; Bacillati; Actinomycetota; Actinomycetes.
AGAGUUUGAUCCUGGCUCAGGACGAACGCUGGCGGCGCGCUUAACACAUGCAAGUCGAGCGAGAACCAGGCCUUCGGGCCUGGGGACAGCGGCGAACGGGUGAGUAACACGUGGGUAAUCUACCCUCGAUUCUGGGAUAGCCCGGGGAAACCCGGAUUAAUACCGGAUAGCCUCACAAGCUUUCGGGCAGGGUGAGAAAAGGUAGCUUCGGCCUCCGAUCGAGGAUGAGCCCGCGGCGGAUUAGCUUGUUGGUGGGGUAAUGGCCUACCAAGGCGACGAUCCGUAGCUGGUCUGAGAGGACGAUCAGCCACACUGGGACUGAGACACGGCCCAGACUCCUACGGGAGGCAGCAGUGGGGAAUCUUGCGCAAUGGGCGAAAGCCUGACGCAGCGACGCCGCGUGGGGGAAGAAGGCCUUCGGGUUGUAAACCUCUUUCAGCAGGGACGAAGCCACUCGGGUGAAUAGCCCAGAGGGUGACGGUACCUGCAGAAGAAGCCCCGGCUAACUACGUGCCAGCAGCCGCGGUAAUACGUAGGGGGCAAGCGUUGUCCGGAUUUAUUGGGCGUAAAGAGCGUGUAGGCGGCCGCACAGGUCCGUUGUGAAAACUGGAGGCUUAACCUUCAGACGUCGAUGGAAACCGUGCGGCUAGAGUCCGGAAGAGGAGAAUGGAAUUCCUGGUGUAGCGGUGAAAUGCGCAGAUAUCAGGAAGAACACCCGUGGCUAAGGCGGUUCUCUAGUACGGUACUGACGCUGAGACGCGAAAGCGUGGGGAGCGAACAGGAUUAGAUACCCCAGUAGUCC